AGUGAACGCUGGCGGUAGGCCUAACACAUGCAAGUCGAACGGCAGCACAGUAAGAGCUUGCUCUUACGGGUGGCGAGUGGCGGACGGGUGAGGAAUACAUCGGAAUCUACUUUUUCGUGGGGGAUAACGUAGGGAAACUUACGCUAAUACCGCAUACGACCUACGGGUGAAAGCAGGGGAUCUUCGGACCUUGCGCGAAUGAAUGAGCCGAUGUCGGAUUAGCUAGUUGGCGGGGUAAAGGCCCACCAAGGCGACGACCCGUAGCUGGUCUGAGAGGAUGAUCAGCCACACUGGAACUGAGACACGGUCCAGACUCCUACGGGAGGCAGCAGUGGGGAAUAUUGGACAAUGGGCGCAAUCCUGAUCCAGCCAUACCGCGUGGGUGAAGAAGGCCUUCGGGUUGUAAAGCCCUUUUGUUGGGAAAGAAAAGCAGCAGGUUAAUACCCCGCUGUUCUGACGGUACCCAAAUAAUAAGCACCGGCUAACUUCGUG
This 492-nucleotide ribosomal RNA is filed under the name uncultured bacterium. RNAcentral describes it as "partial 16S ribosomal RNA". It matches the Rfam family "Bacterial small subunit ribosomal RNA", at positions 29 to 507 of the family's 1533-position model. The record is from RNAcentral.